CUAAGAAUCUUCCGCAAUGGGCGCAAGCCUGACGGAGCGACGCCGCGUGGACGAUGAAGGCCGAGAGGUUGUAAAGUCCUUUUCUUGGAGAAGAAUAAUGUGGGGAGUGGAAUGCCUCACAGAUGACGUUAUCCAAGGAAUAAGCCCCGGCCAAUUACGUGCCAGCAGCCGCGGUAACACGUAUGGGGCGAGCGUUGUUCGGAAUUAUUGGGCGUAAAGGGCGCGCAGGCGGUUUUGUAAGCCUGGUGUUAAAGGCUCUGGCUUAACCUGAGUUGAGCGCUGGGAACUGCAAGACUCGAGUUCUGGAGGGGGAGCUGGAAUUCCAGGUGUAGGGGUGAAAUCUGUAGAUAUCUGGAAGAACACCGGUGGCGAAGGCGAGCUCCUGGCCAUGAACUGACGCUGAGGCGCGAAAGCGUGGGGAGCGAACA
Molecule: ribosomal RNA, 428 nt
Filed under: uncultured bacterium
Lineage: Bacteria
Description: bacterial SSU rRNA
Rfam family: Bacterial small subunit ribosomal RNA
Source: RNAcentral